GUAUUAAUUAGUUGAAAUUCUUGAAUGGGGUUCAAGAGGCCGCAGGUUCGACUCCUGUCACUCGGACCA
RNAcentral lists this transfer RNA (69 nucleotides) under Herelleviridae sp. RNAcentral describes it as "tRNA-Pro". The record is from RNAcentral. Lineage: Duplodnaviria; Heunggongvirae; Uroviricota; Caudoviricetes; Herelleviridae.